Apodospora peruviana is the source of this 116-nucleotide non-coding RNA. Lineage: Eukaryota; Fungi; Ascomycota; Sordariomycetes; Sordariales; Lasiosphaeriaceae. The record is from the annotation of a GenBank genome assembly.
GCCCGUAUAGCUCAGUGGUAGAGCGCGUCACUCGUAAUAUCUUCUCCUCUCCACCCGGAGCAAAGAAGAAAACAUGCGGCAUGACGAGGUCCACGGUUCAAUCCCGUGUGGGGGCU